AUUACCGAGUUUACAACUCCCAAACCCAAUGUGAACGUUACCAAACUGUUGCCUCGGCGGGGUCACGCCCCGGGUGCGUAAAAGCCCCGGAACCAGGCGCCCGCCGGAGGAACCAACCAAACUCUUUCUGUAGUCCCCUCGCGGACGUAUUUCUUACAGCUCUGAGCAAAAAUUCAAAAUGAAUCAAAACUUUCAACAACGGAUCUCUUGGUUCUGGCAUCGAUGAAGAACGCAGCGAAAUGCGAUAAGUAAUGUGAAUUGCAGAAUUCAGUGAAUCAUCGAAUCUUUGAACGCACAUUGCGCCCGCCAGUAUUCUGGCGGGCAUGCCUGUCCGAGCGUCAUUUCAACCCUCGAACCCCUCCGGGGGGUCGGCGUUGGGGAUCGGGACCCCUCACCGGGUGCCGGCCCUGAAAUACAGUGGCGGUCUCGCCGCAGCCUCUCCUGCGCAGUAGUUUGCACAACUCGCACCGGGAGCGCGGCGCGUCCACGUCCGUAAAACACCCAACUUCUGAAAUGUUGACCUCGGAUCAGGUAGGAAUACCCGCUGAACUUAAGCAUAUCAA
RNAcentral lists this ribosomal RNA (563 nucleotides) under Trichoderma hamatum. RNAcentral describes it as "eukaryotic LSU rRNA". The stretch from base 188 to 341 matches the Rfam family "5.8S ribosomal RNA". Lineage: Eukaryota; Fungi; Ascomycota; Sordariomycetes; Hypocreales; Hypocreaceae. The record is from RNAcentral.